UUUCCGUAGGUGAACCUGCGGAAGGAUCAUUACUGAUUGCCCUAGUGGCAUACCCCUAUACCCACUCUCUCUUGUUAACCCCUUGUUUGACACUCUGUGCCGCUUUUAUAAACAACCUGCAAAGAAAGUCAAGUUAUUAUAACUAAAAAUAACUUUCAACAACGGAUCUCUAGGCACUCGCAUCGCUGAAGAAAGCAGCAGAUUGGAAGAGCACAUGUCUGAACUCCACUCUCUGUGUACGAAUUCGUAAGCCGUCCUCUGGAUGUAAAGAAAAAUCAC
This 279-nucleotide unclassified non-coding RNA is filed under the name plant metagenome. RNAcentral's name for it is "partial contains small subunit ribosomal RNA, internal transcribed spacer 1, and 5.8S ribosomal RNA". The record is from RNAcentral.